RNAcentral lists this ribosomal RNA (465 nucleotides) under uncultured bacterium. Its description in RNAcentral is "partial 16S ribosomal RNA". It matches the Rfam family "Bacterial small subunit ribosomal RNA", at positions 28 to 507 of the family's 1533-position model. The record is from RNAcentral.
GAUGAACGCUGGCGGCGUGCUUAACACAUGCAAGUCGAACGGAAAGGCCCAAGCUUGCUUGGGUACUCGAGUGGCGAACGGGUGAGUAACACGUGGGUGAUCUGCCCUGCACUUCGGGAUAAGCCUGGGAAACUGGGUCUAAUACCGGAUAGGACCACAUUUUGGAUGGUGUGGUGGAAAGUUUUUCGGUGUGGGAUGAGCUCGCGGCCUAUCAGCUUGUUGGUGGGGUAAUGGCCUACCAAGGCGUCGACGGGUAGCCGGCCUGAGAGGGUGUACGGCCACAUUGGGACUGAGAUACGGCCCAGACUCCUACGGGAGGCAGCAGUGGGGAAUAUUGCACAAUGGGCGCAAGCCUGAUGCAGCGACGCCGCGUGGGGGAUGACGGCCUUCGGGUUGUAAACUCCCUUCGCUAGGGACGAAGCGCAAGUGACGGUACCUGGAGAAGAAGCACCGGCUAACUACGUG